Molecule: small RNA, 520 nt
Filed under: uncultured Glomus
Lineage: Eukaryota; Fungi; Glomeromycota; Glomeromycetes; Glomerales; Glomeraceae
Description: SSU rRNA
Rfam family: Eukaryotic small subunit ribosomal RNA
Source: RNAcentral
AGCAGCCGCGGUAAUUCCAGCUCCAAUAGCGUAUAUUAAAGUUGUUGCAGUUAAAAAGCUCGUAGUUGAAUUUCGGGGUUAGUAGGUUGGUCAUGCCUCUGGUAUGUACUGGUCUCACUGAUUCCUCCUUCCUGAUGAACCGUAAUGCCAUUAAUUUGGUGUUGCGGGGAAUUUGGACUGUUACUUUGAAAAAUUAGAGUGUUUAAAGCAAGCUAACGCUUGAAUACAUUAGCAUGGAAUAAUGAAAUAGGACGUUCGAUCCUAUUUUGUUGGUUUCUAGGAUUGACGUAAUGAUUAAUAGGGAUAGUUGGGGGCAUUAGUAUUCAAUUGUCAGAGGUGAAAUUCUUGGAUUUAUUGAAGACUAACUACUGCGAAAGCAUUUGCCAAGGAUGUUUUCAUUAAUCAAGAACGAAAGUUAGGGGAUCGAAGACGAUCAGAUACCGUCGUAGUCUUAACCAUAAACUAUGCCGACUAGGGAUCGGAUGAUGUUAAUUUUUAAUGUACUCAUUCGGCGCCUUAC